Molecule: ribosomal RNA, 373 nt
Filed under: uncultured organism
Description: bacterial SSU rRNA
Rfam family: Bacterial small subunit ribosomal RNA
Source: RNAcentral
CGUAGGGUGCGAGCGUUGUCCGGAAUUAUUGGGCGUAAAGGGCUCGUAGGCGGUCUGUCACGUCGGGAGUGAAAACUCGGGGCUCAACCCCGAGCCUGCUUCCGAUACGGGCAGACUAGAGGUAUGCAGGGGAGAACGGAAUUCCUGGUGUAGCGGUGAAAUGCGCAGAUAUCAGGAGGAACACCGGUGGCGAAGGCGGUUCUCUGGGCAUUACCUGACGCUGAGGAGCGAAAGUGUGGGGAGCGAACAGGAUUAGAUACCCUGGUAGUCCACACCGUAAACGUUGGGCGCUAGGUGUGGGACUCAUUCCACGAGUUCCGUGCCGCAGCUAACGCAUUAAGCGCCCCGCCUGGGGAGUACGGCCGCAAGGCUA